GCCCUUAUGACCUGGGCUACACACGUGCUACAAUGGACGGUACAAAGAGCUGCAAGACCGCGAGGUGGAGCUAAUCUCAUAAAACCGUUCUCAGUUCGGAUUGUAGGCUGCAACUCGCCUACAUGAAGCUGGAAUCGCUAGUAAUCGCGGAUCAGCAUGCCGCGGUGAAUACGUUCCCGGGCCUUGUACACACCGCCCCGUCACACCACGAGAGUUUGUAACACCCGAAGUCGGUGGGGUAACCUUUUUGGAGCCAGCCGCCUAAGGUGGGACAGAUGAUUGGGGUGAAGUCGUAACAAGGUAGCCGUAUCGGAAGGUGCGGUUGGAUCACCUCC
Molecule: ribosomal RNA, 335 nt
Filed under: Bacillus thuringiensis
Lineage: Bacteria; Bacillati; Bacillota; Bacilli; Caryophanales; Bacillaceae
Description: bacterial SSU rRNA
Rfam family: Bacterial small subunit ribosomal RNA
Source: RNAcentral